UAUUCUCAGCCUUGUGUGCCAUAGAAAGACCUCAUUUUCCACCUCCAGAGAGACCAUCUGAGCCUAUCUCCUUUUGAAGUUGAGCACACACUUCAUCAUAGCCCGGAAGUUCAUUGUCUCUCAAUAUAUGUUUCACCACAUCAUUGAAGCUUAGGCUGAGUGUGAGAAGCAAUCCAAAGGUCUUGUCUUCCUCACGCCUGACUUCAAGUGUGUCAGGGUCAUUGAUCCUUAGCCUUAGCAUCUCCAGCUCA
Molecule: long non-coding RNA, 251 nt
Filed under: Brassica napus (rape)
Lineage: Eukaryota; Viridiplantae; Streptophyta; Magnoliopsida; Brassicales; Brassicaceae
Description: long non-coding RNA (BNAP_LNC012325)
Source: RNAcentral